GGCUAGAUGGCAGAAUGGUAAUGUAUAAGAUUGCAAAUCUUUUAAUGUUGGUUCAAUUCCAACUCUAGCUU
Molecule: transfer RNA, 71 nt
Filed under: Pterocladia lucida
Lineage: Eukaryota; Rhodophyta; Florideophyceae; Gelidiales; Pterocladiaceae
Description: tRNA-Cys
Rfam family: tRNA
About the family: Transfer RNA (tRNA) molecules are approximately 80 nucleotides in length.
Source: RNAcentral